RNAcentral lists this long non-coding RNA (1037 nucleotides) under Camelus dromedarius (Arabian camel). RNAcentral's name for it is "lncRNA (ENSCDRG00005012690.1)". The record is from RNAcentral. Lineage: Eukaryota; Metazoa; Chordata; Mammalia; Artiodactyla; Camelidae.
CUCCGGGCUCCAGGUUCCUUGAGGGCUGGACAGAUUCUGGACUAGAUUUAGGUGGGUAAUUUUCCUUUUUUUUUUUUUAAGGAUUAAAAAAAAACACAACUCCUUCCACUUUUCUCUAUAAGGCAUUUCCUCCCUCCUCCCCCACAAUAACUGGGAUAGAACAGGCAGCAGGAGACAGAGGAAAAGAUGAUGCUGAGGGCGAAAUCUCAUCACAUUUGGGGACUGGAAAGCACUAGAGAGAUGCUCUUAGUUCUACCUAAGAGCAGGGAUGCAGAAGCACUCAGCCUGGGACGGGAUGCUGCUUUGCCACGGAGCAUCUGUGUGGCUUUGCACUGCCAUCCUCUCCUGCAGGAUUCUCAUCAAAAAGCACGGCCAGAACAAAGAAACAGAAACUGUGUCACCUACCGUCAAAUUUCUUGUGCCUGGACACGAAAGUGGUCCCUGGCAGAGAGAAAAUUAAAGGGGUGGAAAAACAGAGAUAGACAAGCAUGGAGAAAGAAAAAUGGUUGGUCACCAAAAUAUUGAAGAGUCGUGCUGUAGGAAGAGUAAGUCUGUUUUGCAACGUGCUUGGUAGAGUUCCUAUGAAGAGACCACGAUGAUGUCCCCAAGAACACAAGACCAGGGCCCAUGAAACAUGUGGUCAAUUGAGGUCGAGCCUUGUUUCCUUCCUAACAUAUCACUAGAUAAGAAGGUUGUGGAAGAAAUAAACUCUUAAACAUGUCCUCUCUCUCCCUAAUCUGAGGCCACUGAUAACUUCCAAAGCGACCUGAUGACUUUGAAUGGCCACGAAGACUUCGGACAGUCAGACAAUUUUGUUUGCAGCGGGUUUAUUUCUUUAUUUGAGUGUUGGCCCUAGAACCAGGGUUUGCAAACCAUGGCCUCUCGGUCAAAUCCAGCCGACCGUCUGUUUCUGUAUGACCUGUGAGAAAAAUGGUUUAAAAAAAAUCAAAAGAAUGAUGUUCUAUGCUAUAUGAAGUGUUAUGGAAUUCUAAUUGAAUUGUCCAUAAAUAAAGUUUUACUGGAAAACAGUCCCACCC